GGAUGCGAUCAUACCAGCACUAAAGCACCGAAUCCCAUCAGAACUCCGAAGUUAAGCGUGCUUGGGCGAGAGAGUAGUACUAGGAUGGGUGACCUCCUGGGAAGUCCUCUUGUUGCAUUCC
This 121-nucleotide ribosomal RNA is filed under the name Aegilops tauschii subsp. strangulata. The record is from RNAcentral. Lineage: Eukaryota; Viridiplantae; Streptophyta; Magnoliopsida; Poales; Poaceae.